Molecule: ribosomal RNA, 332 nt
Filed under: uncultured bacterium
Lineage: Bacteria
Description: bacterial SSU rRNA
Rfam family: Bacterial small subunit ribosomal RNA
Source: RNAcentral
AGAGUUUGAUUCUGGCUCAGGAUGAACGCUAGCGACAGGCUUAACACAUGCAAGUCGAGGGGCAGCGAGGGAGUGGCAACACUUCUGUCGGCGACCGGCGCACGGGUGAGUAACGCGUAUGCAACCUGCCCUUCACAGGGGGAUAACCGGGAGAAAUUCCGACUAAUACCGCAUACGUCCUCCGGGGGCAUCCCCGGGGGAUGAAAGAAUUAUCGGUGAAGGAUGGGCAUGCGUGAUAUUAGGUAGUUGGCGGGGCAACGGCCCACCAAGCCCACGAUAUCUAGGGGUUCUGAGAGGAAGGUCCCCCACAUUGGUACUGAGACACGGACCAA